RNAcentral lists this ribosomal RNA (439 nucleotides) under uncultured bacterium. RNAcentral's name for it is "partial 16S ribosomal RNA". It matches the Rfam family "Bacterial small subunit ribosomal RNA", at positions 339 to 795 of the family's 1533-position model. The record is from RNAcentral.
CUACGGGCUGCUGCAGUGGGGAAUAUUGCACAAUGGAGGAAACUCUGAUGCAGCAACGCCGCGUGGAGGAUGACACUUUUCGGAGCGUAAACUCCUUUUAUAUAGGAAGAAGAUGACGGUACUAUAUGAAUAAGCGCCGGCUAACUCCGUGCCAGCAGCCGCGGUAAUACGGAGGGCGCAAGCGUUACUCGGAAUCACUGGGCGUAAAGAGCGUGUAGGCGGAUUAAAAAGUCAGAAGUGAAAUCCUAUAGCUUAACUAUAGAACUGCUUCUGAAACUCUUAAUCUAGAAUAUGGGAGAGGUAGAUGGAAUUUCUGGUGUAGGGGUAAAAUCCGUAGAGAUCAGAAGGAAUACCGAUUGCGAAGGCGAUCUACUAGAACAUUAUUGACGCUGAGGCGCGAAAGCGUGGGGGGCAAACAGGAUUAGAUACCCCCGUAGUC